Molecule: long non-coding RNA, 1359 nt
Organism: Trichomycterus rosablanca
Lineage: Eukaryota; Metazoa; Chordata; Actinopteri; Siluriformes; Trichomycteridae
Exons: 5
Source: RefSeq, a predicted model, not a curated record
UCCUCAGCCCUUUCACAAGGCAGAGAUUGCUGGAGCUCCGCAAAGAAACCGUGGCACGGAGAAAAGAAAGUGCUAAAAAAAAAAGGAAGGAGGCAAAAAAAAAACUCGGCUGACUGCUUUCUCUGCUGUGAAGGCCUCCCCACUGGCGGGCCCAGCCAGAAUGGGAGGGCUUCUGCUCUCCUAAGAGGAUUUAACCCUCUGUCUCCAGCCACUGCACUGCAGCCUAAGCAAACCCUGGCAACAAGUCACACUUUCUAACGAAUUGCUCAAGGUUUGAUGCAGCUUUUUUCUGUAUUGCUUUGGUUUUGACUUCUCCGUUUGACGAACAUGACUUGUAAGUUUCUGAGAGCGAUUCAGAACGUGGGAUUUCUUUGGGACAUAAAGCAGCCUGGACCAGUAGGGCCAGUGAUGUGUAGGAGCUGUUCAUGGGACAGGUGCCAAUUGCUCACAAAAGACAGGGAAAAAAUCAGGGCACAGAGGCGAAAGCAGAGCGCAGAUUUCUGAGCUGAAAAUGUUUAGCAGACUCGUGAGAGGGAGUCAGGAAGAAAACGUGGUUCGCCUUGUGCUGCAGAUUCUUCACGCACACUGAACUAAAGCGGGAACAAUCCCGCCAAAAAGCUUUAAUUGCUAGCCUGGAGUAUCAUACAUCCUGAACCUGGUUCUGCUGAUGGUUCAGUAGCUAGAAAAGCGAAGAGAGAAACUUAAGGACUCCAAGAAGGGAGGGUAAGAAGGAAAGAAGGAAAACGGAAGGAGGAGGAGGGGAGGUCCUUUUCCAGCCUGUUAAAUGUUCCCCAGGCCCGGCCGAGACUUAGCAUCCUGAUUUGCAUUCAGCGAACAUGCUAAUUGUGUGUUUUCUAACAUACUCCAUUCAUUCGGAUGAGACUGUGCUCCACACACGCCUCCUAGACACCCGCGUGGCCUCCUAUUGUUGACGAGCCGAACAGCUCCAGGCCCAGGCACAGUGAUGAGCAUGGGGUUAACCUGGAGCUCCAGGCUGCUGUGGAGAGAGGACCAAAGGGAGAGACUAUUAACUCGAGUUCCCCUAUCAGAAUCAGAACUCUUUAAGCUUUUUUAUUCCGCCAAACUUAAACAUUUUGUGGAAAGACAGCUGCGAAAACGAAGCGAGGCCUGUAGGAAACCAAAACACUUUUUAUGGGCCUUCAGGAGUGGAGUGGUGUGAAGCUUGAGAAUGGCUAUUACACUGAGUGCUGCAGCUUGUUGCCCCUUUCAAAGCUCAGAUGGCAACCAGGGCUGUUGAGACAUAGUCAAGAGAUUCACCAACAGUAAAACUGGAACCAUUUACAGGAAAAACACCCCACACUGGACAAGCAAACCACUCAGCUCUAUAUUAAACUGUCC